UACUAGUUUGCAAAUAUUUACUUCAACAACUGGAGUUCAAAUGUUUGUAUUAAGUUGUGCAAAUAACAGAUCUCUGUAACGUAUAUGGUACAAGCAAGCUUGCCAAGGGCC
This is a long non-coding RNA of Populus euphratica (Euphrates poplar), 111 nucleotides long. RefSeq lists it as uncharacterized. The transcript has 3 exons. The record is from RefSeq and is a predicted model, not a curated record. NCBI's taxonomy places the organism in Eukaryota, Viridiplantae, Streptophyta, Magnoliopsida, Malpighiales, Salicaceae.